Arachis ipaensis is the source of this 323-nucleotide non-coding RNA. NCBI's taxonomy places the organism in Eukaryota, Viridiplantae, Streptophyta, Magnoliopsida, Fabales, Fabaceae. The record is from RefSeq and is a predicted model, not a curated record.
CUUCCCCUUCUAACGCCAUCACAGGCUCCUCCUACUUAGCUCUAUCCAGAUGCCAGUAAGAGAUCAAAUCGAUGGCAGUACAAUAUCAGCAAAAUACACACAUCACUUGAAAGCUUCCUUCACUUCAGAAGCAGCUCUUUUUGUUUUUCUGGCGAAGAGAAAAGAGAAGUGAGAUGGAUCAGUGAGACUCGAAGAACACCGGAUCAGAAUUCUUGUUAAACGAAGAGAGAGAGAGAGAGACAAUUCAGCAAUUUCCACUAAGGAAUGAGAUGAAUACAAGAAGAUUCAGAAACAGAAAGAGAAAGAGACUUGGAUCCAGUUGA